This is a transfer RNA of Pararhizobium polonicum, 74 nucleotides long. It matches the Rfam family "tRNA". From Rfam's summary of the family: Transfer RNA (tRNA) molecules are approximately 80 nucleotides in length. Their secondary structure includes four short double-helical elements and three loops (D, anti-codon, and T loops). The record is from Rfam. Lineage: Bacteria; Pseudomonadati; Pseudomonadota; Alphaproteobacteria; Hyphomicrobiales; Rhizobiaceae.
GGCGGGGUAGCUCAGGUGGUUAGAGCAGCGGAAUCAUAAUCCGCGUGUCGGGGGUUCGAGUCCCUCUCCCGCUA